AAUGAGGAAAAUGGGGAGCAGGAGGCCGACAAUGAAGUAGAUGAAGAAGAGGAAGAAGGGGGGGAGGAAGAGGAGGAGGAGGAGGAAGGCGACGGUGAGGAAGAGGAUGGAGAUGAAGAUGAGGAGGCCGAGGCAGCUACGGGCAAACGGGCAGCUGAAGAUGAUGAGGUGGGUUCUGGCUUGGGUAGGGGUUGGGAUCCGAGGCACGAUAGCCAGAGGGGCUGAUUUUGGUGGUGUGGCCCUGAAAGGCUUCCUUAUCUUGGGCAGGAACAGGAAGGAAUCUAGGCCUGCCUUCCCAGAGCUCUGGAAGCCUCUGGAGCAGCCAGUGCCUGGCCCUUGCCUCUGCCCGCAGAUGUGGGGAUGGGCCCCGUGGACUGCAGGGGCCCUGACCAUCUUUCUCUGUGCAGGAUGACGACGUCGACACCAAGAAGCAGAAGACUGAUGAGGAUGACUAGACAGCAAAAAAGGAAAAGUUAAACUUAACAACAAAAGGUCACCAUGACCUGUUCACCCUCCACUUUCUGUCUCAGAAUCUAAAUGUGGUCACCUUCCAGUAGAGUCCCGUCCUGCCGNAGAGUCCCGCCCGCCUGCCCAACGCGGGCAGCGCCACCCGCAGAUGACACACGCUCUCCGCCACCCAACCAAAACCACAACGUGAAUUUGCAACAGGGGAGGAAAAAAGAACCAAAACUUCCAAGGCCCUGCUUUUUUUCUUAAAAGUACUUUAAAAAGGAAAAUUUGUUUGUAUUUUUUAUUUACAUUUUAUAUUUUUGUACAUAUUGUUAGGGGUCAGCCAUUUUUAAUGAUCUCGGAUGACCAAACCAGCCUUCGGAGCGUUCUCUGUCCUACUUCUGACUUUACUUGUGGUGUGACCAUGUUCAUUAUAAUCUCAAAGGAGAAAAAAAACCUUGUAAAAAAAGCAAAAACAACAACAAAAAAACAAUCUUAUUCCGAGCAUUCCAGUAACUUUUUUUGUGUAUGUACUUAGCUGUACUAUAAGUAGUUGGUUUGUAUGAGAUGGUUAAAAAGGCCAAAGAUAAAAGGUUUCUUUUUUUCCUUUUUUGUCUAUGAAGUUGCUGUUUAUUUUUUUUGGCCUGUUUGAUGUAUGUGUGAAACAAUGUUGUCCAACAAUAAACCGGAAUUUUAUUUUGCUGAGUUGUUCUAA
RNAcentral lists this long non-coding RNA (1165 nucleotides) under Ursus americanus (American black bear). RNAcentral describes it as "lncRNA (ENSUAMG00000004382.1)". The stretch from base 944 to 1028 matches the Rfam family "mir-1244 microRNA precursor family". The record is from RNAcentral. Lineage: Eukaryota; Metazoa; Chordata; Mammalia; Carnivora; Ursidae.